This 75-nucleotide transfer RNA is filed under the name Candidatus Acetothermia bacterium. RNAcentral describes it as "tRNA-Val". It matches the Rfam family "tRNA". Rfam says of the family: Transfer RNA (tRNA) molecules are approximately 80 nucleotides in length. Their secondary structure includes four short double-helical elements and three loops (D, anti-codon, and T loops). Lineage: Bacteria; Candidatus Bipolaricaulota. The record is from RNAcentral.
GGGCGAAUAGCUCAGUGGAAGAGCGCCUGUUUCACACGCAGGAGGUCGCAGGUUCAAGCCCUGCUUCGCCCACCA